RNAcentral lists this ribosomal RNA (255 nucleotides) under Clostridioides difficile. RNAcentral describes it as "partial 23S ribosomal RNA". It matches the Rfam family "Bacterial large subunit ribosomal RNA", at positions 2044 to 2297 of the family's 2925-position model. The record is from RNAcentral. Lineage: Bacteria; Bacillati; Bacillota; Clostridia; Peptostreptococcales; Peptostreptococcaceae.
GUAAUUCCGGUGAAGAUGCCGGAUACCUGCGACAGGACGGAAAGACCCCAUGGAGCUUUACUGUAGCUUGACAUUGGGUCUUGGUACUACAUGUACAGGAUAGGUGGGAGGCUUUGAAACCAGGACGACAGUUUUGGCGGAGCCAUCCUUGGGAUACCACCCUUGUAGUACUGGGACUCUAACCAUAGGCCAUGAAUCUGGUCUUGGGACACUGUCAGGUGGGCAGUUUGACUGGGGCGGUCGCCUCCCAAAAGG